AAGACUUGGCAGUUGGUCACUGAGGCAAGGAGGGUACAGGGGAACUGGGUGUUCCCUGGGAGGGUAGGACCCCGGAGUACAGAGCCUGCUAGCCCCCUACCCCCUCUUCCCUGGGAGGGGGCCAAGAGUCACUGGAGUGGGCACUGCUGGACGGCAGUGGCCUGAAGAGGGCGCCGCGGUCCCAAAGUGCCGUGGGUCUGGAGCUGAGACGGGGAGACGCUGGCCAGAAGGAGGUGUUCGGUGAGCAGGUGUGAGUUAAUUCCCAGUGCGACUGGCAGGAGGCGCCAUGGUGGAACAUGUCAACUUCAUCCAUCAAGACUUCUUUGACUUCCUACACAUGUGACAUUCCUGUUCAAUGAUCGCAGUUACUGAAAUCAUCGGUUCUUGAGAGCCUCUUUAGACCGCUACUAGCAAG
Molecule: non-coding RNA, 415 nt
Organism: Pelodiscus sinensis (Chinese soft-shelled turtle)
Lineage: Eukaryota; Metazoa; Chordata; Testudines; Trionychidae
Source: RefSeq, a predicted model, not a curated record